CGCAGACGACGCCUGCGGCGUGCCUAAUACAUGCAAGUCGAGCGAAUCUUUGGGAGCUUGCUCCCAUUGGUUAGCGGCGGACGGGUGAGUAACACGUGGGCAACCUGCCUGUAAGACUGGGAUAACUUCGGGAAACCGGAGCUAAUACCGGAUAAUUCUUUUCCUCUCAUGAGGAAAAGCUGAAAGUCGGUUUACGCUGACACUUACAGAUGGGCCCGCGGCGCAUUAGCUAGUUGGUGAGGUAACGGCUCACCAAGGCGACGAUGCGUAGCCGACCUGAGAGGGUGAUCGGCCACACUGGGACUGAGACACGGCCCAGACUCCUACGGGAGGCAGCAGUAGGGAAUCUUCCACAAUGGACGAAAGUCUGAUGGAGCAACGCCGCGUGAGCGAUGAAGGCCUUCGGGUCGUAAAGCUCUGUUGUUAGGGAAGAACAAGUACCGGAGUAACUGCCGGUACCUUGACGGUACCUAACCAGAAAGCCACGGCUAACUACGUGCCAGCAGCCGCGGUAAUACGUAGGUGGCAAGCGUUGUCCGGAAUUAUUGGGCGUAAAGCGCGCGCAGGCGGUCCUUUAAGUCUGAUGUGAAAGCCCACGGCUCAACCGUGGAGGGUCAUUGGAAACUGGGGGACUUGAGUGCAGAAGAGGAAAGCGGAAUUCCACGUGUAGCGGUGAAAUGCGUAGAGAUGUGGAGGAACACCAGUGGCGAAGGCGGCUUUCUGGUCUGUAACUGACGCUGAGGCGCGAAAGCGUGGGGAGCAAACAGGAUUAGAUACCCUGGUAGUCCACGCCGUAAACGAUGAGUGCUAAGUGUUAGGGGGUUUCCGCCCCUUAGUGCUGCAGCUAACGCAUUAAGCA
RNAcentral lists this ribosomal RNA (859 nucleotides) under Bacillus sp. (in: firmicutes). RNAcentral describes it as "bacterial SSU rRNA". It matches the Rfam family "Bacterial small subunit ribosomal RNA", at positions 23 to 866 of the family's 1533-position model. The record is from RNAcentral. Lineage: Bacteria; Bacillati; Bacillota; Bacilli; Caryophanales; Bacillaceae.